CGGGUGGCGACCGGCGCACGGGUGAGUAACGCGUAUGCAACUUGCCUAUCAGAGGGGGAUAACCCGGCGAAAGUCGGACUAAUACCGCAUGAAGCAGGGGCCCCGCAUGGGGAUAUUUGCUAAAGAUUCAUCGCUGAUAGAUAGGCAUGCGUUCCAUUAGGCAGUUGGCGGGGUAACGGCCCACCAAACCGACGAUGGAUAGGGGUUCUGAGAGGAAGGUCCCCCACAUUGGUACUGAGACACGGACCAAACUCCUACGGGAGGCAGCAGUGAGGAAUAUUGGUCAAUGGGCGUAAGCCUGAACCAGCCAAGUCGCGUGAGGGAUGAAGGUUCUAUGGAUCGUAAACCUCUUUUAUAAGGGAAUAAAGUGCGGGACGUGUCCCGUUUUGUAUGUACCUUAUGAAUAAGGAUCGGCUAACUCCGUGCCAGCAGCCGCGGUAAUACGGAGGAUCCGAGCGUUAUCCGGAUUUAUUGGGUUUAAAGGGUGCGUAGGCGGCCUUUUAAGUCAGCGGUGAAAGUCUGUGGCUCAACCAUAGAAUUGCCGUUGAAACUGGGGGGCUUGAGUAUGUUUGAGGCAGGCGGAAUGCGUGGUGUAGCGGUGAAAUGCUUAGAUAUCACGCAGAACCCCGAUUGCGAAGGCAGCCUGCCAAGCCAUGACUGACGCUGAUGCACGAAAGCGUGGGGAUCAAACAGGAUUAGAUACCCUGGUAGUCCACGCAGUAAACGAUGAUCACUAGCUGUUUGCGAUACACAGUAAGCGGCACA
RNAcentral lists this ribosomal RNA (765 nucleotides) under uncultured bacterium. RNAcentral's name for it is "bacterial SSU rRNA". It matches the Rfam family "Bacterial small subunit ribosomal RNA", at positions 85 to 850 of the family's 1533-position model. The record is from RNAcentral.